Molecule: long non-coding RNA, 618 nt
Organism: Hemicordylus capensis (graceful crag lizard)
Lineage: Eukaryota; Metazoa; Chordata; Lepidosauria; Squamata; Cordylidae
Exons: 5
Source: RefSeq, a predicted model, not a curated record
CAGCCCCUGUCCUGGCUUUCCCCAGGCAGGGAGCAAACCAACCCUAUCCGACAGCCUUCAGCAUCGGGUGAAACAGCAGAGUUCAUAUGAAUGGAACCUAAUCUCACAGAAAUGUACAUGUGCAAUACUCAGUUCCCACAAAAUGCUCUGUUCUUACAAAAUACAUGAAGGGGAUGCAAGCAGUGGUGAGUCAAGGUGGCUUAACCAGUGGAUCUUGCAGACUGUUCAUCCAAAAGGGAUUGUUUCUUGCUCCAAGCAAGUGAAAAAACCAAAGAUGAACACAUUGGCUGACAUCCAGACUAAACUACCCAUGAGUUUAGCCCUUUGGCCGACUAAGGAGCAAUGUCAGUCAUAAUUUCCCCUCAUCACUCAGCUGAUUUUGGAUAGUUCUUUUCUCUACAUACUGUAUGUCUUAAAGAAAACCAAGCACAAAGUUGGCACACAGAAAUUCCGGACCUCCCAAUUCAGUUCCAUAAGUUACUUGGGACAGAUUCAUGUCUGAAGCCUACAUCUGAGAGCAAGAGAUUUUACUUCGAUCUAGGAAGAGGACAACAACUGCAUUAAAAAAUUGAAAGUAACAAUCAGGAGAAACAGUCCCAAAUAAAGGAGAUACAAAAC